Molecule: ribosomal RNA, 399 nt
Filed under: uncultured bacterium
Lineage: Bacteria
Description: bacterial SSU rRNA
Rfam family: Bacterial small subunit ribosomal RNA
Source: RNAcentral
GGGGGAUAUUGCACAAUGGAGGAAACUCUGAUGCAGCGACGCCGCGUGAGGGAAGAAGGUUUUCGGAUUGUAAACCUCUGUCUUCGGGGAAGAUAAUGACGGUACCCGAGGAGGAAGCCACGGCUAACUACGUGCCAGCAGCCGCGGUAAUACGUAGGUGGCAAGCGUUGUCCGGAAUUACUGGGUGUAAAGGGAGCGUAGGCGGGCUCGCAAGUUGAAUGUUAAAUCUAUCGGCUCAACCGGUAGCCGCGUUCAAAACUGCGGGUCUUGAGUGAAGUAGAGGCAGGCGGAAUUCCUAGUGUAGCGGUGAAAUGCGUAGAUAUUAGGAGGAACACCAGUGGCGAAGGCGGCCUGCUGGGCUUUUACUGACGCUGAUGCUCGAAAGCAUGGGGAGCAAAC